This 251-nucleotide ribosomal RNA is filed under the name uncultured Lactobacillus sp. RNAcentral describes it as "partial 16S ribosomal RNA". It matches the Rfam family "Bacterial small subunit ribosomal RNA", at positions 283 to 524 of the family's 1533-position model. The record is from RNAcentral. Lineage: Bacteria; Bacillati; Bacillota; Bacilli; Lactobacillales; Lactobacillaceae.
UACGCCGAGUUGAGAGACUGAUCGGCCACAUUGGGGACUGAGACACGGCCCAAACUCCUACGGGAGGCAGCAGUAGGGAAUCUUCCACAAUGGACGCAAGUCUGAUGGAGCAACGCCGCGUGAGUGAAGAAGGUUUUCGGAUCGUAAAAGCUCUGUUGUUGGUGAAGAAGGAUAGAGGUAGUAACUGGCCUUUAUUUGACGGUAAUCAACCAGAAAGUCACGGCUAACUACGUGCCAGCAGCCGCGGUAAU